AACUGGGUUCUUUUUAAUACUCAAGCUUAAUUGAACAGUUACAUUUUGUUACUAAAAAGCCAUGAAUGCUAAUGGAAACUACAGCUCACUCAAAGCAUGUUUACUUUUACAGAAGUUGUUAAAAAACCAGCUCUGCUCCAAAUUUGCUGAGCACACCAGUUAACAGUGAGGUAAUUUUGGAGAACUGAAUAUUCUAAAUACAUUUUAAAGCCUUGGUUUAAAAGCUAAUCAGUCAUAUUUACAUGACCAUCGUAUCUGAAAGGAGAGAAAAUGAGAACAGAAGUAACUUUGAGAAACAGUGUGAUUUCUUUGGACAUUUAAACAAAUCUCAAGUGGGUUAAUUACAGUUUGUUCUGAUUUUAACUCCACCAAUAGGAAUUUUCAUGGCAUUUAGAUAAGUUAUCAACUGGGCUAGGUAACAGAUAAAAGAUUGCAUUUUCUUUGCCAACAUUUGGGAGGUACACUUGUACAAUAAGUGCAACAAUUUAAAAAAUCGGUCUAGACUUCAGUGAAUGAAAAUUAUGCUUGUUAACUGUAGUGUCUGGAGUCCGAACUGGUGUGUCAGUCUUGCUUAUCCCUGGGCCACCGUCAAACAAAGCUGCUAAUUCGAAUGCUUUAAGUUUCAAAUUGGGAAAUAUUGUUCUAAUAUGGCAACAAUGGGGCUGUUGUCCUUUCAGGCGCUCUGCGAUUACAGGCUCGUUUUAUGCAAAACAAAUGGCAGGUAAUUGAGAUUUAAUUCUUUUCAAGUAAAUUACAGUGAGUGCGUGACACAAAGCUGCGGCGGACCCUCCUUUCUCUGUCAAUAGUUGAAUUAAUGAUGGCAGGAGUAAAAACAGCAAUUGUGCACAACGGCUCUCCCCGGGUCCCCCACCCCCGCCACGGAGGAACCUGCCAAUCAGGCUGCGCCACCACCGGGCUGGGAAGCCUAGGGUCUCCGAUGUUCCAGGAUGGAAUGUUCUGGUGUCACCGUGCGUGGGGUCACAGAGCUGGGAACUCGCUCAGAGCCAGGGUCUCUGCUGGGGUCAGCGUCUGUGCGCUAAAGCCAGGGCGCAAACUGCGUGCGCAUUGCGGGUACCAGGGGCUUAUGGUGCUGGAAAUACAAGGCCGAGUUGCCGGCGCAAAGAGUUCCCCGGGCGGGUUGGUGAUCCAGCGCGCUUUGAUAACAGGUUAACCCGAGCAACCUUCGCUCUGCGAGAGAUCCGCCGGAGGGCUCCGGAAGACUGCGGCGCAGCGGAGGGAGAGGCGGGGAGAGGCGGGGAGAGGCCCCCUCUGCGAGCACCGUCUGGGCGCAGUACGGUGGGCUGUGCGCUGCGCAUCCCCGGGCGAUCUUGGGUUCUCAGAGCCUAAGACCUGAGCCGCAGGGCUCCAGUUCUCAUCUAGAAGCUGGAGAAGUUCAGGUGCCCAGCACUUUGAUCAGUGUCUGCUUCAUAGGAGGCACUCAAAUACUGUGGAAUGGAUGAAUGGAGUCACUUCCUUUCCAACAUGCACGCCAACAUGGUUGAACUGCCUCCUUUCUAAGUGCCAAAGUCUGUUUUACAAGGCUGUAAGUGAAAUCACUGACAUGGAAAUUAUAUUUUCAAAAUUAAAGGAACAAUUUUCUAAAGAAA
Macaca mulatta (Rhesus monkey) is the source of this 1607-nucleotide non-coding RNA. NCBI's taxonomy places the organism in Eukaryota, Metazoa, Chordata, Mammalia, Primates, Cercopithecidae. The record is from RefSeq and is a predicted model, not a curated record.